UACGUAGGUGACAAGCGUUGUCCGGAUUUACUGGGCGUAAAGAGCGCGCAGGCGGUCGAUCAAGUCGAGUGUGAAAGCCCCCGGCUCAACUGGGGAGGGUCAUUCGAUACUGAUCGACUCGAAGGCAGGAGAGGGUAGUGGAAUUCCCGGUGUAGUGGUGAAAUGCGUAGAUAUCGGGAGGAACACCAGUGGCGAAGGCGGGUCUCUGGGCCGAUAUCGACGCUGAGGAGCGAAAGCGUGGGGAGCGAACAGG
Molecule: ribosomal RNA, 253 nt
Filed under: uncultured bacterium
Lineage: Bacteria
Description: partial 16S ribosomal RNA
Rfam family: Bacterial small subunit ribosomal RNA
Source: RNAcentral